UGCUUCAUCACAAUAUUAUUACCAAUUUAUUAAACCAAGAUUGCAUAGACUGAAGAAAUGAGUGUGACACAUCCCCGGGGGUUUUCUGGAGGUAGACCUCCAGCUGUUUCAUUCUCACAUGCACUCUGGUUUACAGGGAUAUGGAAAAAUAUUUGCAUUUCAGUUCAAUGCAGCACAAUUUUAUAUCGUUUGCAGGUUUUCUUAAAGGAAGGGUAGAAGCAUGCACAGCAAGCUGGAGAUGUACACUUUGGGAGAUAGAGCUACCAUCUUCCAGGGAGAAUGGGGGAAAACACAUGGUGGUUGUUAAUUUAUAUCCUGGACAAUGCUGUAAAUCCAAGCAUCGCUGACAAUUCCUGCCCAGUAAACAUGCUCAAUUUCAUCUUCCGUAAAAAGGCGAGCAGGCAUUGAAUAGCAACACAUUUUGAUUUUCAUUUAGCCACUUUAAUGAUAGGUGAUGUUAGUGGAAAAGAUCAUUUAUCUUCAGAUUUAUUUUAUAUGAGAUAAAAGGCCUUGCCAAUUUUUUAAAAUUCAUUUACACAAGUGAAUAAAUCUUCCCAAACAAUAAGUAGGAAAGUCAUAUUUCUUUAACUUUGCUAAAAUCUGAAAAUGCUGAUCUUGGAGUGAAAUAGACAGCACUGGCAUUUUAAUCAAGAACAUAAAGACUCCUCUUCUAAACAAGAAGCACAGCUAUACUUCAGAAAAAAAAACAAAAAACCUCUGAUUCAGAGGACAGCCUUUUUUAAUGCAUUUUGUCAAAAAUCUCUGAUAAAUCAGGAGAGUGCAAUUUUUAUGUCCCCUUCAUUUUUAGAUCAGUUCCAAUGUGAAGGCUACCUAAAAAUAGACAGAACCUAACCUUUCAAAUAUCUAUACUGCUGCAUACCACGAACACAAGCUUUCAGUGCCUCUCAUGGCUCUCAGAAGCCCUGUGCUGUGCCUGUCUUCUCCUCUAGCACAUUAUCCCAUGUUGCCUACUGCACCCAGGCAUGAGACAAGCUGCAAGUUGCAAUGUGCAGUGCACUGCAGUACGUGGUAUGUGUCCAUUUGAGGCACACAAGCAAAAAGAUCAUGAAAACCAGCCUCCCCCUUUGGCUAUUGGAUUUUUGCCACAAAAAGGACACUGACAACAUUGAACCUGUGCUUGCAGACACAGUUCUACCCAUCUAAAGAAGAGAUUUUGCAACAGUGCACUGAAGUGAGUGACUGGUGUAGAAUUACAGGACCGCAGAAUAGUCGCAGGUCCUAAAGCCACACUAGGAGCUGGAAUAGGAGAAAGCUGUACUAAAACCCAGUUGUGGGUCUGCCCUGGAGGCUUUGAGUGACUAUGACUGUUGCUUACACGAAAUAGAAAAUCACCCUUGUACCAGUUGUUAGCUGGCUACUCCUAGCAGGAACGAGCUCGUGAGGACUUGCUUUUCUUUGUUUACUGUCAUGCUCUGCUCUGAUGGAGUCAGAAGUUUGUCAAGGCAUUUUACUCUGUCAAAAAAAUGAAUAAAAUAACUUACACUGAUAAAAUAAUGAAAUAAAGCGGCAUCAGACUAAAUUAAUUCCUUCAAAGAAUUUUGGAUGGAAAAUGUCUUACCUGCUGACAGGAAGGCAAGAAUAGCAAACAAAGGCAUAGGAAUAAAAGCCAUUCAAUAAAAUAUCGAUUUCAUUAUCACCACCUAUUCAACUUAAUUUUCUUGGCAUCCAUAUCCCUAAUGCAGGUUUGUGAUAGAUCGUACACUCACUUUUUAAUUAAGCCCUACUGUGCCUUGUAUUAAGAACAAGACAGUAUACAUUAUGGCACAAUAUAUCUACCAAAAUAUUUAAUGCUCAUCCUUUUCAUUUUGGUAUUUAAAAGUUGUUCUCUUAGGAGGUGGUAUCAGUAUUUAACAACAUUCUUGACAGUAAGUAUAAAAACAAAAAGCUUCAUACUUAAUCUAGCCAUGUCAAAACUGAAACUCCUUAAAAUAAUUGCUUUCUGAAUAUAUAGUAUUUCUAUUGAAUUAUUUUAUUAUUUCUCAGCUUUCAACAUCUUAAAAUGCAAAACUUGUUCCUUCUACAUACUGAUGAGAUGAGAUGAGAAGUGGCACAAGGAUAGAAAACUCACAUUUGACCAGUUGAAUGGUACAUGAAACAGAUGUUAUCAUGUUACAAGAGAUAUUUAAUGAGAAGCUGUAAAGGACUGGCAGCUUUCUGGGUUGGUAGUAUUUUUUGUUUCAGGUCUCUUUUGGUGUAUUGCAGUUCUGCUGCUUGUGAUGGGGCAGAUCCUCUGUAAGAACAGCACUCAUCUUCCACUGGGGUACUGGCACUUUGUAGAGAGCAACAUUCACUUUAAUUAGUAAAAUGUACCCACCUUCUUCCAAGUAAGAAAAAGCUGUUGUUGCAUGUGGUUUUAGUUUUUAAUGCCAAAAUAAAUAAGUAAACAUAUUUACAUUAUGGUAUACUAUUUCUUAUUCUGUACCCGUAGUAACCAAAUUAAUCUCAAGACGCUGCUGGCAUUAAUUCAAUCUGAAGCUCAUACUUGGGAUUUCACAUAGGUGCCUUUAUCCUAUUCUUCUUCUUAACUAAUAAAAUGGUAAUAUAUGGCAAUAUAUUUAUUUCUGGUUCAGUUCAAGUUGAGGUGUGCAGUACUUUGCAGAAACCUAAUUAAUAUGAAUCAUACAUUAGAACACUCUGUUUAGUAUACAAAAAAAUGGUGCUAGCACAUGAGGAUGAAAUAGAAGAUCCAAGCAUUCAUUUCUAGCUGUAACUUUUCUAUCUGUCUCUGGCAUUGGGAAGGCUAGUUUUCCUUACCCUUCAAUCUCCAUUAAAAAAAAAAAUCCCUAACAUACAGUGUAGUUUUUUGCUGUAGAACUACACUAAAAAAAUCACAAAUUGUUAAAAAAAAAAAAAAAGGAGUAAGGAGAUCUUGGAAGAUGAGAUACUGACAUCCCCCCCUGUACCACCAAGAGUUUGGUGCACAGUAGCAGUGAACUAGUUCCCACAGUAAUCCAGAGGUACUGUCUUCAGCAACACCCACUGAUACGAAUUUUCCCACUGGAACAGUCUUCAGCCAAAAAUACCCAUCUAGCUGAUAGUGAAAACUAUCCAACACCCCAGGAAUUGUGCCUGAACUUCUCAGGAGACACAAGCAGCUCAACAGCUGUGGUGUUGUCUAGAUCUUCUCUAGACCUCAGCAAGGUCUAGAGAAAAGAAAUCCAGCUAUUUUGUCUGAACUUAAUUUGGGCAAUCUGAUACCCCAGGCAUGCUACUAUCCCAAAAUCU
Motacilla alba alba is the source of this 3246-nucleotide long non-coding RNA. RefSeq lists it as uncharacterized. The transcript has 3 exons. NCBI's taxonomy places the organism in Eukaryota, Metazoa, Chordata, Aves, Passeriformes, Motacillidae. The record is from RefSeq and is a predicted model, not a curated record.